UUUUUCUCCGGUUUUCUUCGAACCGGUUUACAUCCCUAGUACAUACCUACCUACCUCAUAAAUUGAAAAAGAUUUUGUUACUUACAAAAUAUACGUUUUCUCAAUUUAUAAAAAUUACUUGCUAAAGAAAAUGUGUGCACAGUCAUUUUCCAACAUAGACUUAGGCAGCCAGAGCCAGAUUGAAACUGAUAGAAAAAAACGAUGCCGAAAGAAAUACAAAUAUAUGAAAAUGAAAAUUAAGAGCUUAAUAUUGGAAAACGCAGCACUAUGUGAUGAGGUGGCCAAAAUACAAGAGAGCAUUCUGAUUGUAAAAGAUGAGAGAAAGUUUUUACUACAUAAACUACUAGAAUAUGAAAAUGAUACUGAAAGUAUUCAUUCUAGUUAUAGAAGUGAUACUUUAGUUAAUUUAAAUGGACCUAAAUCUAAAGUGAAAAAAAAACAAACUUUAGAAGAUAGAUAAAGUUAUUUAUAUAUAAAAUAUAUUUAAUGUAGUUGUCUAUUUAUGUAUUAUAAAUAUUACAAUUGAUUGAUAAGGAUGGUAAUUAUUACAAAAAUACAUUACCGUUUAAAUAUAUUUUGUACAUUGUU
RNA transcript from Bombyx mori (domestic silkworm), 588 nucleotides. RefSeq lists it as uncharacterized. The transcript is spliced from 2 exons. The record is from RefSeq and is a predicted model, not a curated record. NCBI's taxonomy places the organism in Eukaryota, Metazoa, Arthropoda, Insecta, Lepidoptera, Bombycidae.